UGAAGAACGUAGCGAAAUGCGAUAAGUAGUGUGAAUUGCAGAAUUCAGUGAAUCAUCGAAUCUUUGAACGCACAUUGCGCCCCUUGGUAUUCCAUGGGGCAUGCCUGUUCGAGCGUCAUUUGUACCUUCAAGCUUUGCUUGGUGUUGGGUGUUUGUCUCGCCUUUGCGUGUAGACUCGCCUUAAAAUAAUUGGCAGCCGGCGUAUUGAUUUCGGAGCGCAGUACAUCUCGCGCUUUGCACUCAUAACGACAGCGUCCAAAAGUACAUUUUACACUCUUGACCUCGGAUCAGGUAGGGAUACCCGCUGAACUUAAGCAUAUCAAUAAGCGGAGGA
RNAcentral lists this unclassified non-coding RNA (334 nucleotides) under soil metagenome. RNAcentral's name for it is "partial contains 5.8S ribosomal RNA, internal transcribed spacer 2, and large subunit ribosomal RNA". The stretch from base 1 to 118 matches the Rfam family "5.8S ribosomal RNA", at positions 37 to 154 of the family's 154-position model. The record is from RNAcentral.